This 916-nucleotide ribosomal RNA is filed under the name uncultured bacterium. RNAcentral's name for it is "bacterial SSU rRNA". It matches the Rfam family "Bacterial small subunit ribosomal RNA", at positions 246 to 1155 of the family's 1533-position model. The record is from RNAcentral.
UUGUUGGUAAGGUAAAAGCUUACCAAGGCUUCGAUCAGUAGCUGGUCUGAGAGGACGACCAGCCACACUGGGACUGAGACACGGCCCAGACUCCUACGGGAGGCAGCAGUGGGGAAUUUUGGACAAUGGGGGCAACCCUGAUCCAGCCAUGCCGCGUGAGUGAAGAAGGCCUUCGGGUUGUAAAGCUCUUUCAGCCGGAACGAAACGGUUACGGAUAACACCCGUGACUACUGACGGUACCGGAAGAAGAAGCACCGGCUAACUACGUGCCAGCAGCCGCGGUAAUACGUAGGGUGCGAGCGUUAAUCGGAAUUACUGGGCGUAAAGCGUGCGCAGGUGGUUUUGUAAGUCAGAUGUGAAAGCCCCGGGCUCAACCUGGGAACUGCGUUUGAAACUACAAGACUAGAGUGUGGCAGAGGGGGGUGGAAUUCCGCGUGUAGCAGUGAAAUGCGUAGAGAUGUGGAGGAACACCGAUGGCGAAGGCAGCCCCCUGGGUCAACACUGACGCUCAGGCACGAAAGCAUGGGGAGCAAACAGGAUUAGAUACCCUGGUAGUCCAUGCCCUAAACGAUGUCAACUAGUUGUCGGGCCUUUACGGGCUUGGUAACGUAGCUAACGCGUGAAGUUGACCGCCUGGGGAGUACGAUCGCAAGAUUAAAACUCAAAUGAAUUGACGGGGACCCGCACAAGCGGUGGACUAUGUGGAUUAAUUCGAUGCAACGCGAAAAACCUUACCUACCCUUGACAUGUAUCGAAGCCCGCAGAAAAGCGGGGGUGCCCGAAAGGGAACGAUAACACAGGUGCUGCAUGGCUGUCGUCAGCUCGUGUCGUGAGAUGUUGGGUUAAGUCCCGCAACGAGCGCAACCCUUGUCAUUAAUUGCCAUCAUUUAGUUGGGCACUUUAAUGAGACUGCCGG